GAUGAACGCUGGCGGCGUGCCUAAUACAUGCCAGUCGAGCGAACGGACGAGAAGCUUGCUUCUCUGAUGUUAGCGGCGGACGGGUGAGUAACACGUGGAUAACCUACCUAUAAGACUGGGAUAACUUCGGGAAACCGGAGCUAAUACCGGAUAAUAUUUUUAACCGCAUGGUUCAAAAGUGAAAGACGGUCUUGCUGUCACUUAUUGAUGGAUCCGCGCUGCAUUAGCUAGUUGGUAAGGUAACGGCUUACCAAGGCAACGAUGCAUAGCCGACCUGAGAGGGUGAUCGGCCACACUGGAACUGAGACACGGUCCAGACUCCUACGGGAGGCAGCAGUAGGGAAUCCUCCGCAAUGGGCGAAAGCCUGACGGAGCAACGCCGCGUGAGUGAUGAAGGUCUUCGGAUCGUAAAACUCUGUUAUUAGGGAAGAACAUAUGUGUAAGUAACUGUGCACAUCUUGACGGUACCUAAUCAGAAAGCCACGGCUAACUACGUG
This 497-nucleotide ribosomal RNA is filed under the name uncultured bacterium. Its description in RNAcentral is "partial 16S ribosomal RNA". It matches the Rfam family "Bacterial small subunit ribosomal RNA", at positions 28 to 507 of the family's 1533-position model. The record is from RNAcentral.